AUUGAACGCUGGCGGCAGGCUUAACACAUGCAAGUCGAGCGGGGGAAGGUAGCUUGCUACUGGACCUAGCGGCGGACGGGUGAGUAAUGCUUAGGAAUCUGCCUAUUAGUGGGGGACAACAUCUCGAAAGGGAUGCUAAUACCGCAUACGUCCUACGGGAGAAAGCAGGGGAUCUUCGGACCUUGCGCUAAUAGAUGAGCCUAAGUCGGAUUAGCUAGUUGGUGGGGUAAAGGCCUACCAAGGCGACGAUCUGUAGCGGGUCUGAGAGGAUGAUCCGCCACACUGGGACUGAGACACUGCCCAGACUCCUACGGGAGGCAGCAGUGGGGAAUAUUGGACAAUGGGGGGAACCCUGAUCCAGCCAUGCCGCGUGUGUGAAGAAGGCCUUAUGGUUGUAAAGCACUUUAAGCGAGGAGGAGGCUACUUUAGUUAAUACCUAGAGAUAGUGGACGUUACUCGCAGAAUAAGCACCGGCUAGCUCUGUGCCAGCCGCCGCCGUAA
RNAcentral lists this ribosomal RNA (501 nucleotides) under uncultured bacterium. RNAcentral describes it as "partial 16S ribosomal RNA". It matches the Rfam family "Bacterial small subunit ribosomal RNA", at positions 30 to 523 of the family's 1533-position model. The record is from RNAcentral.